Molecule: ribosomal RNA, 322 nt
Filed under: Curvularia sp. SW281
Lineage: Eukaryota; Fungi; Ascomycota; Dothideomycetes; Pleosporales; Pleosporaceae
Description: LSU rRNA
Rfam family: Eukaryotic large subunit ribosomal RNA
Source: RNAcentral
AGACCGAUAGCGAACAAGUAGAGUGAUCGAAAGAUGAAAAGCACUUUGGAAAGAGAGUCAAACAGCACGUGAAAUUGUUGAAAGGGAAGCGCUUGCAGCCAGACUUGCUUGCAGUUGCUCAUCCGGGCUUUUGCCCGGUGCACUCUUCUGCAGGCAGGCCAGCAUCAGUUUGGGCGGUGGGAUAAAGGUCUCUGACACGUACCACCUUUCGGGGUGAACAUAUAGGGGAGAUGACAUACCACCAGCCUGGACUGAGGUCCGCGCAUCUGCUAGGAUGCUGGCGUAAUGGCUGUAAGCGGCCCGUCUUGAAACACGGACCAAG